AGUGAACGCUGGCGGCGUGCUUAACACAUGCAAGUCGAACGAGAACGGAUUAUAGCUUGCUAUAAUUGUCAGCUAAGUGGCGCACGGGUGAGUAAUGUAUAGGUAAUAUGCCUCUUACUAAGGGAUAACAAAUGGAAACGUUUGCUAAUACCUUAUACUCCUUAUUAACAUAAGUUAAUAAGGGAAAGAUUUAUUGGUAAGAGAUUAGCCUGUAUUGUAUCAGUUAGUUGGUGGGGUAAUAGCUUACCAAGACUAUGACACAUAACUGGUUUGAGAGGAUGAUCAGUCACACUGGAACUGAGACACGGUCCAGACUCCUACGGGAGGCAGCAGUGGGGAGUAUUGCACAAUGGACGAAAGUCUGAUGCAGCAACGCCGCGUGGAGGAUGACACAUUUCGGUGCGUAAACUCCUUUUAUAUGAGAAGAUAAUGACGGUAUUAUAUGAAUAAGCACCGGCUAACUCCGUGCCAGCAGCCGCGGUAA
RNAcentral lists this ribosomal RNA (484 nucleotides) under uncultured bacterium. RNAcentral describes it as "partial 16S ribosomal RNA". It matches the Rfam family "Bacterial small subunit ribosomal RNA", at positions 29 to 523 of the family's 1533-position model. The record is from RNAcentral.